Molecule: ribosomal RNA, 740 nt
Filed under: uncultured bacterium
Lineage: Bacteria
Description: bacterial SSU rRNA
Rfam family: Bacterial small subunit ribosomal RNA
Source: RNAcentral
GGCAGCACGGGAGCAAUCCUGGUGGCGAGUGGCAAACGGGUGAGUAAUAUAUCGGAACGUGCCCAGUCGUGGGGGAUAACGCAGCGAAAGCUGUGCUAAUACCGCAUACGAUCUACGGAUGAAAGCGGGGGAUCGCAAGACCUCGCGCGAUUGGAGCGGCCGAUAUCAGGUUAGGUUGUUGGUGGGGUAAAAGCCCACCAAGCCGACGAUCUGUAGCUGGUCUGAGAGGACGACCAGCCACACUGGAACUGAGACACGGUCCAGACUCCUACGGGAGGCAGCAGUGGGGAAUUUUGGACAAUGGGCGCAAGCCUGAUCCAGCAAUGCCGCGUGCAGGAUGAAGGCCUUCGGGUUGUAAACUGCUUUUGUACGGAACGAAACGGCCUACUCUAAUACAGUGGGCUAAUGACGGUACCGUAAGAAUAAGCACCGGCUAACUACGUGCCAGCAGCCGCGGUAAUACGUAGGGUGCGAGCGUUAAUCGGAAUUACUGGGCGUAAAGCGUGCGCAGGCGGUUAUAUAAGACAGAUGUGAAAUCCCCGGGCUCAACCUGGGACCUGCAUUUGUGACUGUAUAGCUAGAGUGCGGCAGAGGGGGAUGGAAUUCCGCGUGUAGCAGUGAAAUGCGUAGAUAUGCGGAGGAACACCGAUGGCGAAGGCAAUCCCCUGGGCCUGCACUGACGCUCAUGCACGAAAGCGUGGGGAGCAAACAGGAUUAGAUACCCUGGUAGUCCACGCCCU